This 812-nucleotide ribosomal RNA is filed under the name uncultured Thiomicrospira sp. Its description in RNAcentral is "bacterial SSU rRNA". It matches the Rfam family "Bacterial small subunit ribosomal RNA", at positions 8 to 795 of the family's 1533-position model. The record is from RNAcentral. Lineage: Bacteria; Pseudomonadati; Pseudomonadota; Gammaproteobacteria; Thiotrichales; Piscirickettsiaceae.
AGAGUUUGAUUCUGGCUCAGAAUGAACGCUGGCGGCAGGCCUAACACAUGCAAGUCGAACGGAAACGACAAGAACAAACUCUUCGGAGGGCGAUCUUGGGCGUCGAGUGGCGGACGGGUGAGUAACGCGUGGGAAUCUACCCUUUAGUUGGGGACAACAUAUGGAAACGUAUGCUAAUACCGAAUAUGCUCUACGGAGUAAAGGUGGCCUCUACUUGUAAGCUAUCGCUAAAGGAUGAGCCCGCGUUAGAUUAGCUAGUUGGUGGGGUAAAGGCCUACCAAGGCGACGAUCUAUAGCUGGUUUGAGAGGAUGAUCAGCCACACUGGGACUGAGACACGGCCCAGACUCCUACGGGAGGCAGCAGUGGGGAAUAUUGCACAAUGAGGGAAACCUUGAUGCAGCCAUGCCGCGUGUGUGAAGAAGGCCCGAGGGUUGUAAAGCACUUUCAAUUGUGAGGAAAGGUUAGUCGCUAAUAUCGGCUAGCUGUGACGUUAACUUUAGAAGAAGCACCGGCUAACUCUGUGCCAGCAGCCGCGGUAAUACAGAGGGUGCAAGCGUUAUUCGGAAUUACUGGGCGUAAAGCGCGCGUGGGCGGACUGUUAAGUCGGUUGUGAAAGCCCUGGGCUCAACCUAGGAAUUGCAUCCGAUACUGGCAAUCUAGAGUUUAGGAGAGGGAAGUGGAAUUCCUGGUGUAGCAGUGAAAUGCGUAGAUAUCAGGAGGAACAUCAGUGGCGAAGGCGACUUCCUGGCCUAAAACUGACGCUGAGGUGCGAAAGCGUGGGUAGCGAACGGGAUUAGAUACCCUGGUAGUC